RNAcentral lists this ribosomal RNA (465 nucleotides) under uncultured bacterium. Its description in RNAcentral is "partial 16S ribosomal RNA". It matches the Rfam family "Bacterial small subunit ribosomal RNA", at positions 28 to 507 of the family's 1533-position model. The record is from RNAcentral.
GACGAACGCUGGCGGCGUGCUUAACACAUGCAAGUCGAACGGAAAGGCCCCCUUGUGGGGUACUCGAGUGGCGAACGGGUGAGUAACACGUGAGUAACCUACCCUUGACUUUGGGAUAACGUCAUGAAACUGGGGCUAAUACCGGAUAGGAGCUCCUGCUGCAUGGUGGGGGGUGGAAAGUUUCGGCGGUUGGGGGUGGACUCGGGGCUUAUCAGCUUGUUGGUGGGGUAGUGGCUCACCAAGGCGAUGACGGGUAGCCGGCCUGAGAGGGUGACCGGCUCCAUUGGGCCUGGGCUACGGCCCAGCCUCCUCCGGGAGGCAGCAGUGGGGAAUAUUGCACAAUGGGCGGAACCCUGAUCCAGCAACGCCGCGUGCCGGAUGACGGCCUUCGGGUUGUAUACCGCUUUCGCCUGUGACGAAGCGUGAGUGACGGUAAUGGGUAAAGAAGCACCGGCUAACUACGUG